CUGAGGGACACAGGCCAUCUUGUCCCCUGUGACUCUGGCUUGCCUGGCCUCUCUGCUGUGAAUGUGGCCAGGAGUGAUGCAUAAAUCUCCUUGCCCUGGGUGUAAGGAGGUCAUUCAUACAUGCACCCCACUUCAGCGAACUUCAGGGUGAGGUGGAGAUGACCACAUGGAACGGCAGUCUGAGAUAGUUAGCCAGAAAACGCUGUACUGUAAGCGGACAGGGCACACGUGCUGCCUCGCACCUCCUGGCAGAGGGCCCCCCGCAGCCUCUGCCCCCACAGACGCCUGCCAGUCUCACAGGUUAAAGACUCGGCCUGGAGUGCAACGGAAUGAACUUCGGUCAGGAGUGCAGGAUGGGACCAAAGGACACAGAGCUGCGUCCGCUGCGAGGCACCUCUCCGCCCUUUCCAGAGCCUCCAAGAGGCCGGCCUGAACCUGGGCGUGGAAUCCACGGAUGCCCCAGUUGCAUGGAGCACCGCCGGGGGAGUCCCGCUGAGAAGAACCACUUCUGAGAACGCCUGUGCUCCGCAGCAGCGCCCAGCCUUCCCUCGGGGAGCCCGCUGCCCCUGCCUGCCGGACGCUGGUGGCUGCUGAGGGUCACCCAGUAAAAACUGCAUGCACAGACCCAUUCAGUACCCACUUCCCUCCCCCUCUGUACCCCUCUUCAUUCCUUACUCCCUCCCUGCCUCCCUUCCUUCCUUCCUUUUACCCCGGGAAAGGAAAACUGAUUAUUUUUUCUGUUUAGACUCAUUGCAUCUGAAAACAUUUCAACUAAACAAAUUGUUUUUUCAGGACACAAACCACUGGAUCAAAGUUUGAUGACCCAUCUCCUGUUUUCUGGGCAAUGGAAUGGUGACUGUCUUUGUAGGUUUCUCCGAGAUGUCUCCUUGAGUCCUUUCAUAAGAACCAUCAGCAUGAGAUUUCCUUGCAGUCCAAAGCUGGUAUAACACAGGCAAGGUGAAGCAGAUCUGUAAUACCAGCACUGUAAGAGGCUGAGGCAAGAGGAUUCCAAGUUUGAGUCCCAUUUUGGUAACUAAUCGAGACUGUCUCAAAAUAAAAAAUAUAAAAGGGUUGGGAAUGUAGCUUAGUGUGAAGGCCCUGGGUUUACUCCCCGACACUGACAAUACAGCAGAUAUAUCAAGUGACUUUUCCUGAUGUUGCCCUUGCCCCAUCACAGUGACCUUGCUCCUUCAGCAGCUGACCCUGGCCCUCUUGUUUUGCCAUUUCACACCCAUACUGUAUCUGUGGGAGACACAGUGCAGGGGCCAUACGCACACAAGAGUCUGUGCUUGUUACGAGGAAAGAGCCCCCAAGUUACUCUUUGCUAUGUUUGUUUGUUUUUGUUUUUGUUUUUCUCCGGUACCGGGAACCGAAC
RNAcentral lists this long non-coding RNA (1375 nucleotides) under Chinchilla lanigera (long-tailed chinchilla). RNAcentral's name for it is "lncRNA (ENSCLAG00000023349.1)". The record is from RNAcentral. Lineage: Eukaryota; Metazoa; Chordata; Mammalia; Rodentia; Chinchillidae.